AUGGCUGCCAUCUUCCACUUUCCUCUGCCUAGGUCCUUUCCUAUGGAGGUGCAAGCAGUUCGACAUGUAUUCUACUUCAGUUUAGUACAUCGGAGUAUCAUGUACGUCAGUUCAGUUCAGUACGAAAACAUUAGAGAUUCGACAGACAUAAUCAUGUCGCACAAGUUCAAGUAUAGGUUGCAGGAAAAACAAGAUGCACAAGUUCAUCUUUUGUAUGCUUUUCAGUACAUCUACUUCCCAAUCGUGAGUCUGAUUUCCUUUGUGUUUCCAUCUUCUUCAUAUAGCACAAACAAUUCCUUGUGGUUAUGCUUGAGAAUGAGCACCAUACUGUCACUUGGUUAA
This 342-nucleotide ribosomal RNA is filed under the name Triticum aestivum (bread wheat). RNAcentral's name for it is "partial small subunit ribosomal RNA". The record is from RNAcentral. Lineage: Eukaryota; Viridiplantae; Streptophyta; Magnoliopsida; Poales; Poaceae.